Molecule: long non-coding RNA, 436 nt
Organism: Xyrauchen texanus (razorback sucker)
Lineage: Eukaryota; Metazoa; Chordata; Actinopteri; Cypriniformes; Catostomidae
Exons: 3
Source: RefSeq, a predicted model, not a curated record
GCUCUUUCCAGAGAGCAGCACUAUCCACCAGCUCCUUCCACUCAUGACACACCAACCGACAGACUCGAAUCACCUGCUGUGCUGGCAGAUUCAGUAAGAUCUCCUCGACGACUGCUAGAGGGAAAGCUUGCAUACUUGUGCACUAGUAGGGCCUGAGAAAAAAGCAAGAUGGGGCAAAACUAUCUCUCUGCAGCUGGACAGAUCUCCACACUACUAUUAGUGACUCGUAUUCCAUACCAGCCUGCCCAGUACUGUGUAUCCAUCCCUCCAUGAGUAAAACGGAUAAACCGAACCCCAGCCCUGUAUUCCACUGCUGAAAGAAAACUUUUUCAGGCUGAAAGGUACUGAUCACUUCUCCUUUCUGAUCAAGCAACUCUACACAGAUCUCAUACUGACUCCCACAGUCGCAACGUGCGGCAUACCUGCACCAGACAAG